Molecule: ribosomal RNA, 484 nt
Filed under: uncultured bacterium
Lineage: Bacteria
Description: partial 16S ribosomal RNA
Rfam family: Bacterial small subunit ribosomal RNA
Source: RNAcentral
AUUGAACGCUGGCGGCAGGCCUAACACAUGCAAGUCGAGCGGAUGAAGGGAGCUUGCUCCUGGAUUCAGCGGCGGGCGGGUGAGUAAUGCCUAGGAAUCUGCCUUGUCGUUGGGGAUAACGUCCGGAAACGGGCGCUAAUACCGCAUACGACCUGAGGGAGAAAGUGGGGGAUCUUCGGACCUCACGCUAUCAGCUGAGCCUAGGUCGGAUUAGCUAGUUGGUUGGGUAAAGGCCUACCAAGGCGACGAUCCGUAACUGGUCUGAGAGGAUGAUCAGUCACACUGGAACUGAGACACGGUCCAGACUCCUACGGGAGGCAGCAGUAGGGAAUAUUGGGCAAUGGGCGAAAGCCUGAUCCAGCCACGCCGCGUGUGUGAAGAAGGUCUUCGGAUUGUAAAGCACUUUAAGUUGGGAGGAAGGGCAGUGAGUUAAUACCUUGCUGUUUUGACGGUACCAACAGAGUAAGCACCGGCUAACUUCGUG